GGGCGGAUGGUUUAGUGGUAUAAUUUUCCCUUAGCAUAGUGCAACCAAUCAGUUGCCACUACUCGCAUGGGAAAGGUCCGGGGUUCGAUUCCCCGUUCGUCCA
This 103-nucleotide transfer RNA is filed under the name Trichoderma reesei QM6a. It matches the Rfam family "tRNA". From Rfam's summary of the family: Transfer RNA (tRNA) molecules are approximately 80 nucleotides in length. Their secondary structure includes four short double-helical elements and three loops (D, anti-codon, and T loops). Lineage: Eukaryota; Fungi; Ascomycota; Sordariomycetes; Hypocreales; Hypocreaceae. The record is from Rfam by way of RNAcentral. RNAcentral also lists the same sequence under 1 other name.